CAGAGGCAGAGCAAAAAAUUCAGAAAUAAUAUUGAUAUGAUUCUACUUUGUUGAAAUUAGCUACCAUUUGACUCCACAAUCAAAAAAAGAAAUUGGCUACCAUUUGGACCAUGAAGGGGUCAGACUCAGAUCGGGUAGCGGUGGUGGUAACAGCCGUAGCCGAGGCGGCGGUGGUGGAUUGAGGGGUGUAGAGUUCAGGUGGUCCUAGAAGAGUCGCGGACAUGGGAUCGAAGCAGACUCAGAUCUGCUUUGACUCGAAAAUUUCUUUUCUCCUUCAACCCCAAUCUCAACAACCUGAGAGAUAAAGCAGAUCCAGAGACCGAGUAAAGCGAUUCUGGGCUACCCAUCUCCUACCCGAGUCUCCAAGCACGCAAAUCUGCGUUUUUUCCUACUGGAAUUUGGACUGAACAUGAACGGCUGAACAACUUCAAAUUUCAGGGCUUGAGACUGAAUGGUGUCACCAUGAAUGGCUGAACAGCUUCAAAUUUCAGCCUCAGAUUACAACUGCUACUAUGUCACAUCCAAAAUUUACUCAUGCUGAAUUGGAAGGAACAAGAUAAGGAACAGAGUAAGAACAGGUGCUAUGAGAAAAAAUGUCCUUCACCACCUUUAAUCUUAUGGUGCCUUCCAAAGGAGUUUGGUGAAGGAAGACUUGCUUCAAUACUUAAUGAAUGUAUAAAGGUGCUCUUUCUGUAGAUUUAAAGAUCACUGCUAAGCGACCUGAUUUGAAGGUCAUAUCCAAGGCAAGUCAAUAUUCAAUGGUUUACUUUUGUUUUUGUAGAAUCUUUUGUUACAAUUCUCACGAUAUUUAGCUAUGAUUUUGGAAGUAGGCAGAGGAAGAGUUUUUUUUUGGUAAGCAGGCAGAGGAAGAGUAUCCUACAUAUGUUUAUGUUUGGUGAUCUAUCCCACUAAAACAUUUCUAUCAAAUCUCCUUUCCUCCUUUCUCUUCUUGAUUUUUUGUGACUUUGAGUGCAGGGUCUGCGGGAAGUAGUUCUGAGGGAAAACUUAA
Lotus japonicus is the source of this 1009-nucleotide long non-coding RNA. RefSeq lists it as uncharacterized. NCBI's taxonomy places the organism in Eukaryota, Viridiplantae, Streptophyta, Magnoliopsida, Fabales, Fabaceae. The record is from RefSeq and is a predicted model, not a curated record. The transcript is spliced from 3 exons.